GGGGUUGUAGCUCAGUGGUAGAGCACUUGCCUAGCACGUGUGAGGCCCUGGGUUCGAUUCUCAGCACCG
Molecule: transfer RNA, 69 nt
Filed under: Ictidomys tridecemlineatus (thirteen-lined ground squirrel)
Lineage: Eukaryota; Metazoa; Chordata; Mammalia; Rodentia; Sciuridae
Description: Spermophilus tridecemlineatus (thirteen-lined ground squirrel) tRNA
Rfam family: tRNA
About the family: Transfer RNA (tRNA) molecules are approximately 80 nucleotides in length. Their secondary structure includes four short double-helical elements and three loops (D, anti-codon, and T loops). Further hydrogen bonds mediate the characteristic L-shaped molecular structure. tRNAs have two regions of fundamental functional importance: the anti-codon, which is responsible for specific mRNA codon recognition, and the 3' end, to which the tRNAs corresponding amino acid is attached (by aminoacyl-tRNA synthetases). tRNAs cope with the degeneracy of the genetic code in two manners: having more than one tRNA (with a specific anti-codon) for a particular amino acid; and 'wobble' base-pairing, i.e. permitting non-standard base-pairing at the 3rd anti-codon position.
Source: Rfam by way of RNAcentral